Molecule: ribosomal RNA, 183 nt
Filed under: uncultured Staphylococcus sp.
Lineage: Bacteria; Bacillati; Bacillota; Bacilli; Caryophanales; Staphylococcaceae
Description: partial 16S ribosomal RNA
Rfam family: Bacterial small subunit ribosomal RNA
Source: RNAcentral
CCGGAGCUAAUACCGGAUAAUAUUUUGAACCGCAUGGUUCAAAAGUGAAAGACGGUCUUGCUGUCACUUAUAGAUGGAUCCGCGCUGCAUUAGCUAGUUGGUAAGGUAACGGCUUACCAAGGCAACGAUGCAUAGCCGACCUGAGAGGGUGAUCGGCCACACUGGAACUGAGACACGGCCCAG